Molecule: long non-coding RNA, 235 nt
Filed under: Numida meleagris (helmeted guineafowl)
Lineage: Eukaryota; Metazoa; Chordata; Aves; Galliformes; Numididae
Description: lncRNA (ENSNMEG00000009622.1)
Source: RNAcentral
UUUGUCUCUGCUAAUACACAUUGCUCUCUGAAACUAGGAAAUCUGUCAAAUGGUACUCUUGGCAUCUGACUUCCUAUAAUCAUUUUUGUGGCAUCCCCAGAUCUUCAAAACUGAAUCUUCACAGAGUGAAUGCCAAAAGACAGCAAGCAACAGAUUCCAUUGAGGUUACCACAACUGACAGAAUGAACGAAAAACGUGACCUUAAAAGGAAGAUAAGUGGAACAGGUGAUCCUAC